This 472-nucleotide ribosomal RNA is filed under the name uncultured bacterium. RNAcentral's name for it is "bacterial SSU rRNA". It matches the Rfam family "Bacterial small subunit ribosomal RNA", at positions 355 to 825 of the family's 1533-position model. The record is from RNAcentral.
UGGGGAAUUUUGGACAAUGGGGGCAACCCUGAUCCAGCCAUGCCGCGUGAGUGAAGAAGGCCUUCGGGUUGUAAAGCUCUUUCGGCGGGGACGAAACGGUUCGUGACAACACCACGGACUAAUGACGGUACUCGCAGAAGAAGCACCGGCUAACUACGUGCCAGCAGCCGCGGUAAUACGUAGGGUGCAGGCGUUAAUCGGAAUUACUGGGCGUAAAGCGUGCGCAGGCGGCUCCUUAAGUCAGAUGUGAAAUCCCCGGGCUUAACCUGGGAACUGCGUUUGAAACUGAGGGGCUAGAGUGUGGAAGAGGGGGGUGGAAUUCCAGGUGUAGCAGUGAAAUGCGUAGAGAUCUGGAGGAACACCGAUGGCGAAGGCAGCCCCCUGGGCUAACACUGACGCUCAUGCACGAAAGCGUGGGGAGCAAACAGGAUUAGAUACCCCUGUAGUCCCUGAGCGGGCUGGCAAGGCGCAU